This is a long non-coding RNA of Corvus hawaiiensis (hawaiian crow), 332 nucleotides long. RefSeq lists it as uncharacterized. The record is from RefSeq and is a predicted model, not a curated record. Lineage: Eukaryota; Metazoa; Chordata; Aves; Passeriformes; Corvidae. The transcript is spliced from 4 exons.
CUUCCCAGGGGAACGCAGGGCCCCGCUACUCAUCCCGGCUGAGGAUUCCACAUGGAGCAAUGCCUGUGACUACCCUUGGAUUCUCUGCCUUAACGUUCCCAAGAAAUUGUGGAUGACGGAGCCAUGGGGGCCUCAAAAGCCAGUGGGGUGAAGAGCAGCAGCAGGAAGCGAAAGAAUGAGUUGGAAAAGGGGCAGGAUAAGCCAAAGACGCUCCCAGUGAGGAAGAAGAAAAAGAAGGAGCUGGAAUGCACAGUGAAGCCUUCCAUGGGAAAAGGGAAGAAGAAACCAUCAAAAGUCAAGGAAAAGCCACUGCAGGAGAACAUCAUCAGCAG